GACGAACGCUGGCGGCGUGCUUAACACAUGCAAGUCGAACGGAAAGGCCCUGCUCUUGUGGGGUGCUCGAGUGGCGAACGGGUGAGUAACACGUGAGUAACCUGCCCUUGACUUUGGGAUAACUUCAGGAAACUGGGGCUAAUACCGCAUAGGAGCUCCUGCUGCAUGGUGGGGGUUGGAGAGUUUCGGCGGUUGGGGAUGGACUCGCGGCUUAUCAGCUUGUUGGUGGGGUAGUGGCUUACCAAGGCUUUGACGGGUAGCCGGCCUGAGAGGGUGACCGGCGACAUUGGGCCUGAGAUACGGCCCAGACUCCUACGGGAGGCAGCAGUGGGGAAUAUUGCGCAGUGGGCGGAAGCCUGAUGCAGAAACGCCGCGUGCGGGAUGCCGGCCUUCGGGUUGUAAACCGCUUUCGCCUGUGACGAAGCGUGAGUGACGGUAAUGGGUAAAGAAGCACCGGCUAACUACGUG
This 468-nucleotide ribosomal RNA is filed under the name uncultured bacterium. RNAcentral's name for it is "partial 16S ribosomal RNA". It matches the Rfam family "Bacterial small subunit ribosomal RNA", at positions 28 to 507 of the family's 1533-position model. The record is from RNAcentral.